This is a long non-coding RNA of Lathyrus oleraceus (garden pea), 1166 nucleotides long. RefSeq lists it as uncharacterized. Lineage: Eukaryota; Viridiplantae; Streptophyta; Magnoliopsida; Fabales; Fabaceae. The record is from RefSeq and is a predicted model, not a curated record. The transcript has 3 exons.
GUCACCAUCCACCGUGGGCCACCACGCUGGAAAUUGCUUCCGGUGGUGGUGGACACCAAAAUGAAGAACAAACACAUCAACUGGAUCCUCUCUUUCUCCUAAUCCCAAAUAUCCAAUUCAAUUUUCCUGCUUCUUCCUCAAAACCACGAAUCGAUUUCGUUUCUUUCAAGAACCCUAGGAUUAGAAAUCAAAAUUAAACUCUCAAGAUUUGGAUACAAGGCCCUAGAGGUUAGGGAUAUGAUUCCCUUGGCCUCAUUCUACAUCAUGGUAUCAAUAAUGCCUCAAACGAUUGCAAAAAAUAAACUCACCUGCCGGAGAAGAUUGUCGAGAUCAGAGCAAUGCCAGUGCUGAAUAAUCCUAGGAUUAAUGUUAAUUUGCUGAGAUUCCACUUGGUGUGUGCAUGACUAUGCAUUUGGAAAGAGUACGUAUGCUUUGGCUUUGUUUGUUGACUUGCCUUACUGCCUAUUGAUGUGAACCAAUGACAAUACUAUGGGAUUGAAGGUUGCAACUAUUGUUGAUGAUUUGGACUGCUUGCUAACAUUCCAAGCUUAAAUUUCUACAUGAUGUGGAUUUUGCUCAGAUUCUGACUUGACGCAGGGUCAUGGCUUGGUGCAACAAGUUUGUGGACAUUGCAUUGUUGUUGACUGCACUGCUUCAUGGUUUUGUGAGGAUGAUGGUGAGCUUUGAUGGACUGGUGCAGAUCUGUUUUGGUAUGGUUCUAUAGUGGGUUUGUUUUGUGGUUAUGCAUGUGUGGAUCAUGGCUUUUGUUUCAUGCUCCUUGCAAUUUUGACUUGGUGAUUCUCAUGGUUUCAUGUGUGCCACACCUUGUGCAUUGCCUUGAGUUCUUUUUGCAGGUCACAUGCAUAUGAAACAUGGUGGUUGAACCAAAGUAUGCAACAUAACCUCAAGAUGGGGUCUUGGAUCAUUAUGUACAAAAUGCAAGCAUUCAAGGGUCAAGGAUAAAAUAAUGGAUAUUAGGGAUGAAAAUAGGAUUAGGGUUAGGAAAAUUAGGGUCUUGGGGAAUUGGGUUGACUUUAGUCAAAGUUGACCAAAAAGUCAAACGUUGACCAAAGUCAACAUUUGGUCAAAAUUGCCAUUUCUUGUAUUUUUUUUCAUUUAAUGGACACUUUUAUGGUUUAUGAAUGGAAAUUGAUGCUCUUUUGACA